RNAcentral lists this ribosomal RNA (718 nucleotides) under uncultured Pediococcus sp. Its description in RNAcentral is "bacterial SSU rRNA". It matches the Rfam family "Bacterial small subunit ribosomal RNA", at positions 10 to 683 of the family's 1533-position model. The record is from RNAcentral. Lineage: Bacteria; Bacillati; Bacillota; Bacilli; Lactobacillales; Lactobacillaceae.
AGUUUGAUCCUGGCUCAGGAUGAACGCUGGCGGCGUGCCUAAUACAUGCAAGUCGAACGAACUUCCGUUAAUUGAUUAUGACGUACUUGUACUGAUUGAGAUUUUAACACGAAGUGAGUGGCGAACGGGUGAGUAACACGUGGGUAACCUGCCCAGAAGUAGGGGAUAACACCUGGAAACAGAUGCUAAUACCGUAUAACAGAGAAAACCGCAUGGUUUUCUUUUAAAAGAUGGCUCUGCUAUCACUUCUGGAUGGACCCGCGGCGUAUUAGCUAGUUGGUGAGGUAAAGGCUCACCAAGGCAGUGAUACGUAGCCGACCUGAGAGGGUAAUCGGCCACAUUGGGACUGAGACACGGCCCAGACUCCUACGGGAGGCAGCAGUAGGGAAUCUUCCACAAUGGACGCAAGUCUGAUGGAGCAACGCCGCGUGAGUGAAGAAGGGUUUCGGCUCGUAAAGCUCUGUUGUUAAAGAAGAACGUGGGUAAGAGUAACUGUUUACCCAGUGACGGCAUUUAACCAGAAAGCCACGGCUAACUACGUGCCAGCAGCCGCGGUAAUACGUAGGUGGCAAGCGUUAUCCGGAUUUAUUGGGCGUAAAGCGAGCGCAGGCGGUCUUUUAAGUCUAAUGUGAAAGCCUUCGGCUCAACCGAAGAAGUGCAUUGGAAACUGGGAGACUUGAGUGCAGAAGAGGACAGUGGAACUCCAUGUGUAGCGGUG